GUUCCUGAUCCUGGCUGGAUUCAUCAUCUUGUUCAUCUGUCUCCAUUUCACCUAAAACAAUCAGAAGAAUCAGGAAGAAAUGAGGUUCCAUGAGCUAUCAACACUGAAAAAAAAUCCUGAUAUUACAGGCCCUUUUGGACACUGAGGGUUGAAGAAAGCUUAUUCUUCUCUUGCUACAUGGCAAAGAGCUUUUAUUCCUAGCAGUGGUGAUGCCAAGCCCCUCCAGCCUCACAGGUCCGUGUUGCCAGUUCUGAAUGGACCCAUGCAGCUAAGAGGAGAAACACUUGGUGUCUCAAAUCCAUACAGCAGUGGUCAGUCAGGGUUUUUUCAAAAGAUUAUUUUUAGCGUCAACCUAAAUGAAUGGUUAGACUACCAAGUUACACCAGAUACUCAGAAACAAUACAGUGCAAACCACACUAAAAUAACUAUAAAUGAAAGCAUACUACAGGUAAAACUGCAUGUUCAAUCUGAGUGAUAUGACAAAGCCUACUGCCCAAAGAAGUCCUGCCCCUUCUCUGCUGAUCUUCAUCUGAUUGCGUAAUAAAACAUACUCACCUCACUAACCUGUCAAAAAACUAUGUUUCCUCCUCACUCUUCUCUGAAUUGUUUUUGGGCUGGUUUAGGAGAUCAAAUCAGUUCAGCUGAUCAGCUUAGUGUAAGGAAUGUCCAGAACAAAUUUCUAUAGGUUUUUAGUCAAGCACUACAUAAUGUGCUGACAGUGUGCUGUUUCACCAAAAACUUAAUUUAUCUUUUUCUAGUUUUUACCUGAUUAAUUAGUUUUGUCACUUUCACAGAAUAUUAAUUUAUGUUUGUAUGUAUAAGUCAGGAAGAUGUAAUUUCCCUUUUUCCUUAUAAAGAUUUCCAAAUUCCAGCCUAAGAUAACACCAAUGGUGGUACUGGAAUGCACAAGUAUCCAUCUGAACACAUCAAUUUUUGAGAUACAGAGCUGACUUUUUUUCUGAAAUAUCAGAUGCCACAACUUUUAAAAGAGUAGCUACUGAAGGAACUAAUGCAGUUGGCCACAAAUACGCUGAUUUUUUUCAACAUAACUGACAAAACUAAAUAAUUGCAAAUAUGUUUACUUCUUGAAAAGUAUGACAAUAGAGAGCUAUUUAAGAUCAUAAAGUCACAGGGAAAAAGCAUCCAGAAGCCAAUUUGAAAGGAAGCCUACAUUCUUAGUUUUCUCACGUUGUGGUAUGUUGUAGGUUACCAAGGAAGCCUCAAGGAAAGCAUCAAUAAAAAAAAAAAACCCAAACAUUAGAACCAUGACAAUCUACUAGACAGCAAAGUCACCAGAUUUACCCUCCCUGUUCAACGUAGCAGUUUUGGAUUUUAUUUAAAACACAUAGGUAAACUAACAAAUAUACCAACAGGUGAAGAAUAAUAGAAACCACAAAAGCUAAACAAAUACAGUAAAACUACAGAAAACCAUUUGUGAACUAAUGAGGUAACAGAACCGCACUUCACUUCAGGUACUGCAGCCUCCACAAGUUUUCUUUAACCACCAAAACGUAAGUGCUCAGUCUCUGAACCCAAACUGGUCUUUUAGCUAAAUGAUCACUGGCAAAAAUGGAACAGAACAUAGAAGCUACAAGACCAACCAUGAGACAAACUACAGAAGGGAAGGAUUGGUCUUCAACAUGACAAAGGUUGACACUGGAAUUACAGUUCCAUGUUACAUAUUAAUCAGUUGGGGGAAAAAAAAAAAAGAAAAAAGACAUUUCUGUAGCAGAGCAAUCUAUGGAUAACAACUAUUUAGGUAAUCAGUAUCAAGUGAUCUUAAUCAACCUCCAAGAAAAUUAGACAAACAAUGUGACUGGACAAAACGAUGCUUCACACAAUUUAUACAUCAACUGUAUUAGGUAACACUGCAUGCAUUGUUAACGUACAUACACAUGCAUACAAACACCAUGGAACAACUCUAAACUACUAAGUCAAAAAGGAGACCUAUUCACCUGUAAACACACAUAUAGUCUACUGUUUAGAUAGCAUAGCUGUAACUAGCAAGGUGUGGCAGGCAUUAAGAUACACAGGAAAAUGAACAAUAAAUAAUCUUUUAGUGUCGUAUCUCUCUCUCUCUAAAAAUAUAAAUGCUGUAGCCUCACUGGAAUACUCUGAUUCCAAUAUUAGACUAUGAUCCUGUUAGCAAGUCCACCUGUCCUACGAAAACUUCAUAUAGGUGGAAAAAUAAUAAUAAAAAGUCAACGUUAUACUUAUCUAAAUCCACAUAAUUUAAGUAUAGGAAAACUUUGACAAAGGAGUUUACAAAGACUCUUAUUGUUUAAUUGAUAAAAUGAAUGAAGAAAGAGGGCCAUCAAGACAGUCAGUGGCCUGAGAGCACUUGCUCUGUGAGAAAAGGCUGCAGCAUCAGGACUUAGCCUGCAGAAGAGACUGUUUCAGGGAUACCCAACAGGAGCCUUCUAGUACCUACACAGAAGUUAAGUAGAAGACGGAACCAGGCCUUCACAGUGGUGCACAGUGGGAGGACAAGAAACAACAGGCAUAGGCUGAAAUAAGAGAAGUUAAGGAUAUUAAGAAAAGUUUUCCUUGUAAGAAGUCACGCAGUGCAGCUGAGAGUUGUACAGCCUCCUUGCAGGUUUUCAAGACCCAACUGGAUAAAGCCCUGGGCAACCUGGUAUGACCUCAGAGCCAACCUUCCUUUGAGCAGGAGGUUGCACUAGAAACCUCCUGAAGUUCCCUGUAACCCAAAUAAUCCUAUGAUCCUAAUAUAAUGAGGAAACAUUUAUUCACAGCCUAUAAGGGGUAUCACAUAGAAAUAACACUAAGAAUAAAAUUUCAAAGCAAACAUCAUUACCUAUCAUGACAGUGAACUGGGGAAACAAGAAGCAGACAAUAAGAUCACAUCAAGCUAAAAAUUGAGUGUUCCUGUAAGAAUCAUGGCUCUUCAACUGUCCUAGUUAAUAACAAUUUUAUGCAAGGGACAUUGAUAUUUUGUAUAUCAGCCUUCUAAUAUAAGACAAGAGCUGACUCACUGAAAGAAAGAUCCAAGUAACAGGAGAAAAAGUAAAUUACUUUACACCUGUCCAUCCUACUUUUGUCUGAAGUGCUAAGUGUCAGAUGUAGAGAAAAGCGCUCAGCUAAUACACCCCUUAACCCAAAUUCUGUAUGCCAAUGGCAACUGAGACAGAACAUCAAAAACUUUAUCAUUUCAGGUUUCACUCUCAGCAAUAAUAUCCAAAGAGGGAAUAUUAAUCAGCUUUCGGAAGAAAAAAACCUGCUGAAAUACCCCACUGCAAAGCUCUCAACAGCUGUUGUUCAAAAGUCAAGUAUAUACAAUCACACAUGGAAAACCACAUAAACAUGAAGAUGUGGGGAGGAAAAAACCAAAAGAAGUGUUUUUAAUGGAAACAUUUACUUUCCUUCUUCUCCUGUUUUUGAAUCAAAAUAAACCCUUUGUGAACUCUUAGGUUUUCACUGUGAAAGAAAAAAUAAUUUUCCACAGAACUCUAAUCACUAAUAUCCCAAAAGGGCAAAGCAGUACUCAGGAAACAUCCACAGAUGGCAGCACAGCAAUGCUUCGUGAGAUUCAUAUUUUUCUCAGUUUUUUCAGCUUACAACAUAGACAUGUACGUAAGUGAUUGUGACUAAAACAUCUACUUGCCAAAUACUUUUUUUUUUGCUUGAUAGGGGUUCAAACAUUCAGAAUAAUGUUUUCAUAAAGUCCAAAAGCUCCCUUUUGUUUGUCACUCCUGUUUUAUUUAAUGCUCAGAUCUGCAAAAGCCAUUUAGGCCUUAAUAAAAAAUGAAGCCUUAGGUGUCAGCACUGAAGUAAAUUAAAAUGAUACACAGAAUAUCCCUUCAAAAGAAUCUGAAAAAAUCUAUACAGAAGUUCCAGUACAACAAAAAUAUUUAAUAGUAUUGAAUUAUUGCUUUUUGAUAAUAAGAAACUAUGAUACGACAACACUUGGGAGAAUUACAAGGGUCUCUUAAUCAUCUUAGCCUUACUCCUACUCAGCUUACAGCUGUUUAUGGUACAACAAAGGAUCUUACCUGUUUCUUCACCAUCUCUCCUCUAGUUGUCUUGAGCUCUGUAACACUGAAAGCCCCUACUCAGAAAACCAAAGGUUUCUUUACAUUAAUCACCUAGAAGGAUGAAGGGGCAAGCCUAACGUUACCUGUAGAUUGAAGAGCUAUUAACGAACUCGAAACAAUAUUUAAGAAACUGACAGGAUUAUCACAUUUCUACCUAGUACAGUUAAAGGGUAAAACCCUUCAGACAAGUUUGUCAGACUCUGGACAGCAAGUGCAAGGAACUGGCCCUCCUCUUCAAGGAACACUGAUGACAGUUUUGAUGCAAACCAUCUUCACUGUACAUCAGACAAGCAAAGAAAAGCUGUCUGAGAAAUGAAGCGGCUUCUGAAGCGGAAACGGCUCUUAUAUGAACAGUAAGGGGCCUCAAUGGUGUCUGGGAAGGACGAAGAUCUGAGAAAAGUGGUAAUCAGCAGGAGUGCAGAUAAACUAAACUCUGCUUCUGUUGAAGGAAGCUACAUUGAUUACACUCAGCAAUGACUCAAUGGAAGGGAUCACAGCACAGCUUUUCAAAUAGAACACAAAUGGAACUGAAAACUAUUUCAGAGUCUAGAACUCUACAGUAAAAUGUUUUGUUUAUCAGGAUAAAUCUGUUUUCUUUAAUACUGUGUUGACAUAAUUGUGAAGAAAACCAGCUUAAGGUGGCAAAUAAAACUACAGGAGGUAACCAAAGCAGAUCAGAGAAUCACAGAAUAGCUGAUGCUGCAAGGCAUCUCUGGAGAUGUCUAGUGAAAUCCCCUGCUCAAAGAAUGGUCACCUAGGCCAGGCUGCUUGGCACCGUGUCCAGUCAGGUUCUGAGCAUCUUCAAGGCUGGAUGAUCCACAGCCUCCCUGGAAACCCCAUUCCAUUGAUAACUCUCACUGUAAAAACAUAAUUUCUUAACUUAAAUGGAAUUGUCUGUGCUUCA
Molecule: long non-coding RNA, 4956 nt
Organism: Falco peregrinus (peregrine falcon)
Lineage: Eukaryota; Metazoa; Chordata; Aves; Falconiformes; Falconidae
Exons: 2
Source: RefSeq, a predicted model, not a curated record